CCUACGGGGUGCAGCAGUGAGGAAUAUUGGUCAAUGGACGAGAGUCUGAACCAGCCAAGUAGCGUGAAGGAUGACUGCCCUAUGGGUUGUAAACUUCUUUUAUAUGGGAAUAAAAUGUUCCACGUGUGGGAUUUUGUAUGUACCAUAUGAAUAAGGAUCGGCUAACUCCGUGCCAGCAGCCGCGGUAAUACGGAGGAUCCGAGCGUUAUCCGGAUUUAUUGGGUUUAAAGGGAGCGUAGGUGGAUUGUUAAGUCAGUUGUGAAAGUUUGCGGCUCAACCGUAAAAUUGCAGUUGAAACUGGCAGUCUUGAUUACAGUAGAGGUGGGCGGAAUUCGUGGUGUAGCGGUGAAAUGCUUAGAUAUCACGAAGAACUCCGAUUGCGAAGGCAGUUCACUGGACUGCAACUGACACUGAGGCUCGAAAGUGUGGGUAUCAAACAGGAUUAGAUACCCUUGUAGUC
This 460-nucleotide ribosomal RNA is filed under the name uncultured bacterium. RNAcentral describes it as "partial 16S ribosomal RNA". It matches the Rfam family "Bacterial small subunit ribosomal RNA", at positions 338 to 795 of the family's 1533-position model. The record is from RNAcentral.